This is a long non-coding RNA of Gadus morhua (Atlantic cod), 530 nucleotides long. RefSeq lists it as uncharacterized. The transcript is spliced from 2 exons. The record is from RefSeq and is a predicted model, not a curated record. NCBI's taxonomy places the organism in Eukaryota, Metazoa, Chordata, Actinopteri, Gadiformes, Gadidae.
UAGCCUCUCUCCCUCAACGGCUACAACAAGUUAGCCUCUCUCCCUCAACGGCUACAACAGGUUAGCCUCUCUCCGUUAGCCUCUCUCCCUCAACGGCUACAACAGGUUAGCCUCUCUCCGUUAGCCUCUCUCCCUCAACGGCUACAACAGGUUAGCCUCUCUCCGUUAGCCUCUCUCCCUCAACGGCUACAACAGGUUAGCCUCUCUCCGUUAGCCUCUCUCCCUCAACGGCUUCAACAGGUUAGCCUUUCUCCGUUAGCCUCUCUCCCUCAACGGCUACAACAAGUUAGCCUCUCUCCCUCAACGGCUACAACAGGUUAGCCUCUCUCCGUUAGCCUCUCUCCCUCAACGGCUACAACAGGUUAGCCUCUCUCCGUUAGCCUCUCUCCCUCAACGGCUACAACAGGUUAGCCUCUCUCCGUUAGCCUCUCUCCCUCAACGGCUACAACAGGUUAGCCUCUCUCCGUUAGCCUCUCUCCCUCAACGGCUACAACAGGUUAGCCUCUCUCCGUUAGCCUCUCUCCCUCAAC